Long non-coding RNA from Manis javanica (Malayan pangolin), 333 nucleotides. RefSeq lists it as uncharacterized. NCBI's taxonomy places the organism in Eukaryota, Metazoa, Chordata, Mammalia, Pholidota, Manidae. The record is from RefSeq and is a predicted model, not a curated record.
CUCAGGGCGUCACAUACGGUUAGCGCGGACCAUCCUGAUUUUGAUGCUGAUAGAUGUCAAGGGAGAGAAAACAGGCCACUCCACUGGUGGGGGGCCUCGGUCAGAUCACCUCACAGCCUCUGGGUCUCAGUUUCCACACCUUUAAAAAGGAGGGCUACCUUCCAAGGUGUUGGUACAGUAGGGGGACCACCAGGGUGUUGGGGCAGUCAGAGGCUGGCAGCUGUCCUACCGCUGUGUUGGGCAAGCUCCUAAGUGGGAAUAGUAUCAAGUUCAAGAUGAAGGUUGCCAUCAUCCAGCUAACUCGUCUUUUCUGUUGCAUGCCAAGAGAACCUU